UUGACGGGGACCCGCACAAGCGGUGGAUGAUGUGGAUUAAUUCGAUGCAACGCGAAGAACCUUACUACCCUUGACAUGUCCGGAACUUGCCAGAGAUGGCUUGGUGCCCGAAAGGGAAUCGGAACACAGGUGCUGCAUGGCUGUCGUCAGCUCGUGUCGUGAGAUGUUGGGUUAAGUCCCGCAACGAGCGCAACCCUUAUCAUUAGUUGCUACGCAAGGGCACUCUAAUGAGACUGCCGGUGACAAACCGGAGGAAGGUGGGGAUGACGUCAAGUCCUCAUGGCCCUUAUGGGUAGGGCUUCACACGUCAUACAAUGGUCGGUACAGAGGGUUGCCAAGCCGCGAGGCGGAGCCAAUCCCACAAAGCCGAUCGUAGUCCGGAUUGUUCUCUGCAACUCGAGAGCAUGAAGUCGGAAUCGCUAGUAAUCGCAGGUCAGCAUACUGCGGUGAAUACGUUCCCGGGUCUU
Molecule: ribosomal RNA, 467 nt
Filed under: uncultured Thiobacillus sp.
Lineage: Bacteria; Pseudomonadati; Pseudomonadota; Betaproteobacteria; Nitrosomonadales; Thiobacillaceae
Description: bacterial SSU rRNA
Rfam family: Bacterial small subunit ribosomal RNA
Source: RNAcentral